CCAAGCAGUUAACAUUAUGGAUUACAAAAUGGAUUUACCGGGCGGUUUCCGUGGACGCUUCCUGGCGAUGACGAGGGCAGACGGCGUAGUCCUUUCCUACGAUCUCAAAAGACGUCCUGUGAUGGAAAAGUCCAGUACUGACCAAGCUGUGGACCUGUGAUGAGAAGAGAGUGAAACCAGAGCCACCAGACAAGGCCAGCAAGUUGCCUCUGGAGUGACUCACGCAUCCUUUUAAAAAUCUCCACUCUUUCAUCCUGCUGUGAAGUUAGAGGCAUCCCUGGGCCCCAGGCUUUUGCUUACCCUCAGCCACCUUCUGCUCAGCUGGACUGCGCUGGAUCAGCAGCCAGCACCAGGAAGGACUUUCUAGGGUACACUGUGCACUGUGCAGGCCAGAGGAUUUCUGGCCAGAGGCAGUGCCAGAGGUCUCCACUCCCUGCUUUUCUAUGCAAAUCACUUGUGUACUGUGAUGUUCAGGUGAAGGCAUGUGAGAAACUGAGAGUUGUGUUCUGCAAAAACAUGUACUAUUCUAAAAUGUUUUCAAUGAAUAUUAGCUUUGCAAGUCAUGUGUAUUCAACAACUUUUUCCUCAUGUAAGGAAUGGUGAUGUACUGUAAAUUCUUGGUGUGAAAUAUUACACCUCAAUUCCCAUUUUCCUGGACUCUUUGUCCCUGCUCCUUCCAUUAUGGGUAAUGGAAAGAGAAUGGGUACUAUGGCAAGGAUUUGAAAUGGAGUCUGUGCCUCGUGGCACUGCUUCCCCCUUCCCUGUAGACAGUAGUGCAAUUGGCAUAGCAAGAGCAGGCGCUUUGAGAGGUGCGUUGGUCACCGGGGGUGCUGAGGACUUACUUGGCCUUACACUGGUGAUAAUGAUGCAAUUCAAAGAGGAGGUUCCCCCUCCCCCACGGAGAGAGAGUAACUGGACCAAGGACAGUGCUCACUUCUGUGACUUUUUUCCUAAUCACCCAAGCAUGGGGAAACAAGUGCUUCUGCUGCCUCCAUUUUCCUGAGGCGUGGGUGCUAGACGGAUGGAUCACUGUUUUGUCAGAGCAGUAGCCAAAAAUUCAGCACUCAGAAAACUCAAAUCAGAGUUUGACUGGCACCUUCCCUGUGGUGUUAGUCCCUGAGCUGUGAGCGGCCUUCUCAAGGAAUCACUUUAUGCCUGACAGGGUUCCCCAGAUCUCUGUGUCUGCAUUUCUUUCCUGUAUGCUUAUUGGCGGGAUACAACUUUGGUAUGCGAAGUAACGGAAGUGCCUAGUAGGGAAAUAUGCUGAGAUGUAAGUGGCUUUCAAGACUCAUUUGCCAGCCACGUUGAUCUUGGGAUCUUUUAAAGAAAUUACAGGGUUUAUUGUGUCAGAAAGAGACAGGGCUCCUCUGAUGAGCAAAGAUGGAAUGAUGGCCUUCAACUAGCCAUGCCCGCAGGGCCUAAGUCACAGAGGUAGAGAGAGGCCUAGGAAGAAUGGCUCUCUGUUGGAUCUCUGAGGGCAUGAGCGAAGGAUUGGCUGAGCCAGCCCUGAAUGUGAAGGGGGUAACUAACUGUGCUCAGAUGUCUCCUGGUCACUGCCACAGCUCUUGUCAACCCCGCUGGAAAGGGGGAGUUCUAUUUGUCCAUGGGUGUCUCUGCUUAUUGACACCCCUGGCACUACCUGGGGUUGAUGUCCACGGGGGACAGAGGACCACGGCUCCCUCCUUCCAGUGUGAUUUGACAUCCCAAGGUCUCUGACAAAGAUGGGGCAUGUUUUUCUGCUUUGCAGCAGCUUUGGGAGCUCUGGGCUUUGUUGUUGGGAGGCUUUCUGUUUUUGCCAUCUUCUGUGUACUGCCUUCCCCCAUGAGACAAGACUAGGAGGGUGAGACUCACCCUCCUGUACUUGCUUCAGGAAGGGUCUUCUUCAUGAGUCUCCUCCAAGGCAUUUGUUGUUUCUGGAAUGGUGAUGUACUGCAAAUUCUUGGUGUGAAAUAUUACACUUCAAUUCCCAUUUUCCUGGACUCUUUGUCCCUGCUCCUUCCAUUAUGGGUAAUGGAAAGAGAAUGGGUACUAUGGCAAGGAUUUGAAAUGGAGUCUGUGCCUCGUGGCACUGCUUCCCCCUUCCCUGUAGACAGUAGUGCAAUUGGCAUAGCAAGAGCAGGCGCUUUGAGAGGUGCGUUGGUCACCGGGGGUGCUGAGGACUUACUUGGCCUUACACUGGUGAUAAUGAUGCAAUUCAAAGAGGAGGUUCCCCCUCCCCAGGUUCCCUGGUUUGACUGCCAGCCCUUUCAUAGUGGCGUGUGGCCCACAGCGACACGGAAGAAAGUGAGCUGUGGUUUCCGGCAGCACUUCCCAGGUACUGCACACCACACCCUUCUUAAACAUUCCCAAGGCACAAGUGUCGGGUAAGAUUCCUGUAGGAACCUUACAACGACAUUGGCAGCAUCAAGGGUUUGAGGACCUUUUUGUCCUGGGGAAGAAAUUGGCAGAGGACUGAGGACAUUCUGACUAGAAUAUCCUGAGGGGUGAGAGACCAAGUUCUGGGUCAGAGGCGUGUGGCUCUCAUUAGAAAUCCAGAAGCCUCUGUGGCAACACAUUUGGACCAUUUGCAGAUUUGCUGUGAACACACUCCCGCUGCCCUUACUCUGCACCUGGGUGGGAGGAGAAACGUGUGGGUCUUGCCCUAGAAGUUGCCUGAAGCUGGGCAUGUUUGCCUUCUUCCAGAGCUUGUACUACAGCUGAGCCGGAUUCUCGGGAACCAGGUCAGUCCUGCAGGCUGCUGGUUGAAUCCUCUCAGCCCUCUGGCUGGAGAGGCAUCUCCCCACAGGCUCUAGCUGCCCCUUCCCCCUCUAUCUGCCGGAGGGUGUGGAUGCUUUGUCCAAGUCAGUGUCCAGAUCCCAGCGCCCCCAAGCCCAGAGCUUUCUUCUCAAGUAAUGCGUAAGCCUUGUGGCCGCUAGCCGGCUGUUGGUGUGGAAGGCACUGAUGCCACUGAUGCCACGAGGUGGGGAUGCUUGGUGUUCACGGUCUUCUGUGACUCUUUCUUGGCAUUGGGCAGUGACAUUGCCUCAGGGGCUCUCUGACUACCCUCAAGGAAAAGUGGUUGUACUAGGAGUCAAGGGCACCAGCUCAGCACUAGAGUGCGGCGAAUGCAGCCGUGCAGGGCUGUUUGAGGGGCGAGCGGUGCCGUGGCUUCUGUAUUACUCUCCACUACUCGGAUAUGGAGUGUACUCACUCGGGGCCUGGCUGGGAUAUGGGGCCAUAUCCCAGGGAAGGACACGGCACUGCUGCCAAUGUUGUGAUGGGAUUUGUGGGUUCAGCUUGUAUCUGCUGUCCUCUGUCCCAGUUCUCUCUGUAGGCCAGCACAGCUGGGCACAGAGGUAGCUUGGCCCAUGGAUGCAUUUGACCUGAGAAACAGGCCCUUUGCGAAGGUCAGUGAUCUUGCAGCAGGCACGUCCAUUGACUCCCAAGGGGACUCACCCUUCUGGUGCUUUCUGUCAGAUAUUGUAA
This is a long non-coding RNA of Condylura cristata (star-nosed mole), 3465 nucleotides long. RefSeq lists it as uncharacterized. The record is from RefSeq and is a predicted model, not a curated record. The transcript is spliced from 3 exons. NCBI's taxonomy places the organism in Eukaryota, Metazoa, Chordata, Mammalia, Eulipotyphla, Talpidae.